UUCACUUCUUGUUUUGUUUGUUUAGAGAUCAAGUGUAGUAUCUGUUCUUAUCAAUUUAAUUUACUAUCGGAUAUGGUCCACGUAGCCCACGAUAUUAACUCAAUUGUUUUAGGGAGACUUGACCAAGAAUUCUCGCUCUUCGCCCAUGCAUUGCACUUUUGCACGGGCGUGGCUCACCCU
This 180-nucleotide small nuclear RNA is filed under the name Capsicum annuum. Its description in RNAcentral is "U2 spliceosomal RNA". It matches the Rfam family "U2 spliceosomal RNA". From Rfam's summary of the family: U2 is a small nuclear RNA (snRNA) component of the spliceosome (involved in pre-mRNA splicing). Lineage: Eukaryota; Viridiplantae; Streptophyta; Magnoliopsida; Solanales; Solanaceae. The record is from Rfam by way of RNAcentral.